Molecule: ribosomal RNA, 301 nt
Filed under: uncultured bacterium
Lineage: Bacteria
Description: partial 16S ribosomal RNA
Rfam family: Bacterial small subunit ribosomal RNA
Source: RNAcentral
CAGUCGCCACGGUAAUGCGUAGGUGGCAAGCGUUGUCCGGAAUUAUUGGGCGUAAAGGGCUCGCAGGCGGUUUCUUAAGUCUGAUGUGAAAGCCCCCGGCUCAACCGGGGAGGGUCAUUGGAAACUGGGAAACUUGAGUGCAGAAGAGGAGAGUGGAAUUCCGCGUGUAGCGGUGAAAUGCGUAGAGAUGUGGAGGAACACCAGUGGCGAAGGCGACUCUCUGGUCUGUAACUGACGCUGAGGCACGAAAGCGUGGGGAGCAAACAGGAUUAGAUACCCCGGUAGUCCCUGUCUCUUAUAA